AAUACGGGAGAGGAAAGUGGAAUUCCGAGUGUAGGGGUGAAAUCCGUAGAUAUUCGGAGGAACACCAGUGGCGAAGGCGGCUUUCUGGACCGAUACUGACGCUGAUACGCGAAAGCGUGGGGAGCAAACAGGAUUAGAUACCCUGGUAGUCCACGCC
Molecule: ribosomal RNA, 157 nt
Filed under: uncultured delta proteobacterium
Lineage: Bacteria; Deltaproteobacteria
Description: partial 16S ribosomal RNA
Rfam family: Bacterial small subunit ribosomal RNA
Source: RNAcentral